UGGAGCUGAAGCGCGCCGUGUC
RNAcentral lists this unclassified non-coding RNA (22 nucleotides) under Mus musculus (house mouse). Its description in RNAcentral is "oocyte_clustered_small_RNA8735". The record is from RNAcentral. Lineage: Eukaryota; Metazoa; Chordata; Mammalia; Rodentia; Muridae.